UACGGAGGGUGCAAGCGUUAUCCGGAUUCACUGGGUUUAAAGGGUGCGUAGGUGGGUCUGUAAGUCAGUGGUGAAAUCUCCGGGCUUAACCUGGAAACUGCCGUUGAUACUAUAGCUCUUGAAUUUUCUGGAGGUAAGCGGAAUAUGUCAUGUAGCGGUGAAAUGCUUAGAUAUGACAUAGAACACCAAUUGCGAAGGCAGCUUGCUACAGGAAUAUUAACACUGAGGCACGAAAGCGUGGGGAUCAAACAGG
Molecule: ribosomal RNA, 253 nt
Filed under: uncultured bacterium
Lineage: Bacteria
Description: partial 16S ribosomal RNA
Rfam family: Bacterial small subunit ribosomal RNA
Source: RNAcentral